AUUGAACGCUGGCGGCAUGCCUUACACAUGCAAGUCGAACGGCAGCACGGGUGCUUGCACCUGGUGGCGAGUGGCGAACGGGUGAGUAAUACAUCGGAACAUGUCCUGUAGUGGGGAUAGCCCGGCGAAAGCCGGAUUAAUACCGCAUACGAUCUACGGAUGAAAGCGGGGGACCUUCGGGCCUCGCGCUAUAGGGUUGGCCGAUGGCUGAUUAGCUAGUUGGUGGGUAAAGGCCUACCAAGGCGACGAUCAGUAGCUGGUCUGAGAGGACGACCAGCCACACUGGGACUGAGACACGGCCCAGACUCCUACGGGAGGCAGCAGUGGGGAAUUUUGGACAAUGGGCGAAAGCCUGAUCCAGCAAUGCCGCGUGUGUGAGAAGGCUCGGGUUGUAAGCACUUUUUCGAAAGAAAUCCUUGGCUCUAAUACAGUCGGGGAUGACGGUACCGGAAGAAUAAGCACCGGCUAACUACGUGCCAGC
RNAcentral lists this ribosomal RNA (481 nucleotides) under uncultured bacterium. Its description in RNAcentral is "bacterial SSU rRNA". It matches the Rfam family "Bacterial small subunit ribosomal RNA", at positions 30 to 512 of the family's 1533-position model. The record is from RNAcentral.